This 257-nucleotide ribosomal RNA is filed under the name uncultured bacterium. RNAcentral's name for it is "partial 16S ribosomal RNA". It matches the Rfam family "Bacterial small subunit ribosomal RNA", at positions 524 to 776 of the family's 1533-position model. The record is from RNAcentral.
UACAGAGGGUGCAAGCGUUGUUCGGAAUUAUUGGGCGUAAAGGGUGCGUAGGCGGUGCGGUAAGUCUGUAGUGAAAUCUCUGGGCUCAACUCAGAGUCUGCUAUAGAAACUGCCGUGCUUGAGUGUGGGAGAGGUGAGUGGAAUUCCCGGUGUAGCGGUGAAAUGCGUAGAUAUCGGGGAGGAACACCUGUGGCGAAAGCGGCUCACUGGACCCACAACUGACGCUGAUGCACGAAAAGCUAGGGGGAGCAAACAGG